GACGAACGCUGGCGGCGUGCUUAACACAUGCAAGUCGAACGGAAAGGCCCUGCUUUUGUGGGGUUCUCGAGUGGCGAACGGGUGAGUAACACGUGAGUAACCUGCCCUUUACUUUGGGAUAACUUCAGGAAACUGGGGCUACUACCGGAUAGGAGCUCCUGCUGCAUGGGGGGGGUUGGAAAGUUUCGGCUGUUGGGGAUGGACUCGCGGCUUAUCAGCUUGUGGGUGGGGUAGUGGCUUACCAAGGCUUUGACGGGUAGCCGGCCUGAGAGGGUGACCGGCCACAUUGGGACUGAGAUACGGCCCAGACUCCUACGGGAGGCAGCAGUGGGGAAUAUUGCACAAUGGGCGGAAGCCUGAUGCAGCAACGCCGCGUGCGGGAUGACGGCCUUCGGGUUGUAAACCGCUUUCGCCUGUGACGAAGCGUGAGUGACGGUAAUGGGUAAAGAAGCACCGGCUAACUACGUG
RNAcentral lists this ribosomal RNA (468 nucleotides) under uncultured bacterium. RNAcentral describes it as "partial 16S ribosomal RNA". It matches the Rfam family "Bacterial small subunit ribosomal RNA", at positions 28 to 507 of the family's 1533-position model. The record is from RNAcentral.